UGAGUUACGGCCGGGCUCCCCUAGCCGUAUUGCACCAACACUUGCAGACUUGUCAUACGAAGCAUUCUUUCUGAAAUAAUAAAUCAGCCAGUCAAGUUUCAUCCUUCAACCAGUGCAGUGCUGAAGUUAAUCGUCCGAACCUCCCCACGGGCCGGGAAGCAGCCAACAUGGCCCGCUUCCCGGGAACCCCGUACAUAACUGGCGCAGUCGGUCGUCUCGGUGGAUUACCGAGACUUAAGACUUCCACCAUAUUCACUCAACACCCGCUUGGUAACCACGUCUAGGGAAAGCAGCAGACGUGCAAAACAACCAGGCUAAUUUCUCCCCAAUGAACCUAACCAGCGUUGGAGAGGUAGUAAUGGAUAUGAAGAAUGAGUUGUAAUUGUAAAAUUCGUAAUCAUUGUGGCGUUAACGAAAAGAACAAAAAAAAAAAAAAAAAGGGUUUUAUACCGUGAUUGAGGAGAGAGCAGACAUAGCUCAACCUCAACCCAAGUGCUUUUGUCCCUUCCAAAAGCCUUAGCCUGCAAAAAUUCUGAUGGAUGCUACUAAGAAACUGUACACCGAAUAUCGCUGUUAGAAUUAAGUUUGGUAGGACAAGUUAGCAAGAAAUCGUUUAAAUCAAACCAGAAAAUUCUCAUAAUUCUUAUGAGCCUGAGCCGCAUCAACCAAAUGCUAGGAAUGUGAUAUCCUUGAUACGUCAGGAAUCCUUCCUGUUGCCAUCCCGGGGCUCCAGACAACUAGAUUUGUGAGGCCCUCGACACGUCAGGACUCCGUCUAGCCUGGAACAGUCAUUGGGAAUGUGAUGUCCUCGAUACGUCAGGCAUCCGCCCUUGGACGAACUCCGCAGCAACUCGAGCACAUCAGUGGAACUCAGAGAAAAAAAAAAACUAAAACAGUUUUUUAAAGUCGAAUCGAGACGAUUCGAGUCUAACGAUGGGGUAGUUACGGCCGGGCUCCCCUAGCCGUAUUGCACCAACACUUGCAGACUUGUCAUACGAAGCAUUCUUUCUGAAAUAAUAAAUCAGCCAGUCAAGUUUCAUCCUUCAA
This is a long non-coding RNA of Culex pipiens pallens (northern house mosquito), 1047 nucleotides long. RefSeq lists it as uncharacterized. The transcript is spliced from 2 exons. Lineage: Eukaryota; Metazoa; Arthropoda; Insecta; Diptera; Culicidae. The record is from RefSeq and is a predicted model, not a curated record.